GCAACCCUUAUUGCUAGUUGCCAUCAUUCAGUUGGGCACUCUAGCGAGACUGCCGGUAAUAAACCGGAGGAAGUGGGGAUGACGUCAAAUCAUCAUGCCCUUAUGACCUGGGCUACGCACGUGCUACAAUGGUUGGUACAACGAGUUGCGAGUCGGUGACGGCGAGCUAAUCUCUUAAAGCCAAUCUCAGUUCGGAUUGUAGGCUGCAACUCGCCUACAUGAAGUCGGAAUCGCUAGUAAUCGCGGAUCAGCACGCCCGCGGUCCGAAUACGUUCCGGGCCUU
RNAcentral lists this ribosomal RNA (283 nucleotides) under uncultured Streptococcus sp. RNAcentral describes it as "partial 16S ribosomal RNA". It matches the Rfam family "Bacterial small subunit ribosomal RNA", at positions 1098 to 1382 of the family's 1533-position model. The record is from RNAcentral. Lineage: Bacteria; Bacillati; Bacillota; Bacilli; Lactobacillales; Streptococcaceae.